This 637-nucleotide long non-coding RNA is filed under the name Rattus norvegicus (Norway rat). RNAcentral describes it as "long non-coding RNA NONRATT029153". Lineage: Eukaryota; Metazoa; Chordata; Mammalia; Rodentia; Muridae. The record is from RNAcentral.
ACCGGACUACUUAGCAGAGCAAGGUGAAGCAGUAGAAGACACUUGCUUUCUCCCAUGGUGUUUGUCAGCUUAUCCAGGAGGGUAUACAGGAGCCAGGUGGAAGGGACUAACCGUUUUCCCUUCUUUCUGUUCCGUGUACCUGUUCUUUGUUUUUUGUUUUGUUUGUUUUUGUUUUAUGUUUUGUUUUCUUAAAGUUACAGUCCCUGUUUCAGGCAUGAUCACCAUCCCAGCAGCCAGUUUGGCAGGGGCACAGAUCGUUCAGACAGGAGCCAAUACCAACACAACCAGUAGUGGACAAGGGACUGUCACUGUGACACUGCCAGUGGCAGGGAAUGUGGUCAACUCAGGAGGAAUGGUCAUGGUAAGGAGUGUCCCCACACUGGAGGUUUGGGUGGGCCCCUCCUGUCUGAGCUGGUGUUGUCUCUUGUGAAGUUUCCUAUGCUAACUUUGGGGUUGAAGCUAGCUCCAUCCUUAUGGCACUAGCAGUGUCUACGUCCACAGGAAGCAUAAUUCAUUCCGAUGCCUUCCAGGUACCAGACUAGUCUAGACUCUGGAAAGACAGCAGGAUGGGUACGAAUGGGCAAUUUCAUUUAAACUUUUCAUGCCGGUAGUAAGGUCUGCUCUCUUGUCCAUGCAG